GAUAGUUGGGAAAAUGUGCUGCCUUCGUUCUCUGCGUGGAAGGAAAUAUCUUCAUCUGCUGCAGGUGAGAUCUUUGGAAAACUAACUGCCCAAAGCUCUGAAGCUUUCAGCCUUCACGCUAACGCACGGGCCCAGCUGGCUGGAGAUUAAAGAGCGCCGUCUCAAACCAAAAAGCAUUUGAAAUUGCACCACUGAGCUGGCAGGAAAUUCCAGCUUUUUGUAGAUGUAGGAGGCGUUGGAACGGCGAGGAGCCAUAAGGCAACGUUCAGAGGUGAAUCGCAGCAUCAGCACCUCGCCAGGGAAGGCUGCCCCACCCCGAGCACUGCACUCGGGCACGGGGGGACCGUCCGCAGCCUUCCCAAAAUGUUGGGGAGCGAUGGGAGGAGGAGCAGCUUGGCUGGCAGCCGAGCUCCAGCUCCAGCUGUCUUCGUCUGCAGAAGAGGCCUCGUAAAGCUCAGGGUGAAUCCCAGUGAGGGGCUCGGCGCUGGCUUUUCACGUGUAGAGCUUCCACUGCUGUCAACUCCAGCGGGCCUCGGACGUGCCAAGAGAUCCCCAGCGCAGAUUUGGACGUCUCUGUCCUGCCCAAGAUAAACAGGCCCUUUGCUUCUCGGACUGAAGUGCUCAUCGCCUUGGAAGAUAACACAAAUUACCGGGGCUCUUAGCUGCUUGGAAAGGAGUCGGUGUGGAUUGAUCAUAGAGAAGAUUUGCCUGGAAGAAGCACGUAUGAUAGGAGAGCGAGAGGACUGCGUGGUUUUCAGGACCUUUAUCCUUUAUUUAGUGCAUGUGUGGGGACAGAGGGCAUAAAACGAGGCAGUCGGUGAUCAUCAAUUCUGAAAACCAUACAGAAAAUGAACACGGUGGCUCUUUCCCUUCCGCUCCUAUGCAGGCUGCCAAAGAUUAUCAUGCCGGUGACAAUGCUGGGAGGCAUCUCAAGAACUCGAGGCCUCCCGUGAAGCCAUUAGCACCAAAGGGAGGCGCCCCCCUCGCCCCCAGUGCUCAGCAGAGCUGGGAUCGAGCCCUGCCAAGGCGAGCAGCGCAGAGCAGAAUCCACGCUGAUGACAGAUGGAACGAAUGUUAUGGAUGCAUCCCAGGGCCGGGGCUGUUGCGCCACAUAAAUCAGUAGCACAACUUUGCCAGCUCCAAAUGCUUCGCAGGGCUGGACUUUCAGCCAGCUUCAUGUCUGGCUUUGCAACCCCAAAACCGUAUGGUCAAAGAAAUUGCGAAUGCACGUGCCCUCGUGUGAACCUCCAGCCUGUGGGGCUGUUUUCGGUCCGCCUCGUGUAGAUAAACGUGACUAAAAAAGCCAUCACUAAAAGAUAAUCCCUUGAUCUAAAUCCCAACGUUGCCCCGCACUCAUGGGCCGUGGAUGCUGCAGAUGAAGUGUGAGGUUCCAGGCUGCAGAUGCUGUCGGAGCUGCGCCGGUCGCUCGAAGCAUGUCGUGCUGCCAACGCCAGCCAAAGGCGAUGAGAUCCCAAAUAAUCGGGGGGGCCAAAAAAUAUUUCACGUUGCUCUCCCUGCCUGCGCGCUGGUGGCCGGGCUGCUCCUUCGCGGGGAGAAGCUCAAAGCACACAAACAUCGCGUGUGAAAACUCGCUCCUGUCAUGAAAGCUGCUUCCCAUACACAGCAUAAAUCCCAAGUGCUUGUGAUUUAAGACAAAAAAAAAAAAAGGGCAAAUAAAAAGAUUUGCUGUUAAAAUUAUGACUUGGCAGCACCGUGUAUGUGCGUGGGGGGGAAGUGCCUGCAACCUUUUUAGAGGAAUACUUGCCCUUUGGAGAAUGAACUUCCAUUAAAGUAAAAAGGCUUCACCCUUCUAGGUGGGAUUUUGGCAGCAUGGAGCGGAGGAAGGGCCCAACCGGCCGCUCCAGCUUUCUCACUCCAUUUCAGCCGUGACAAAAUGAAACGUUUUAAUGCAGCACUUCUAUCUCUGACAGCUGCGGUCGCCUCGUGUUUACAGAAGACAUCCUGUUGUUCAACGGAGACACUUUUGCCUUGUUGAAAUGAAACGACCCUUUUUUUUUUUUUUUCCUCCUUCUUUCCAAUCAUGGCUUUACGCAAUUCCCAUUCCGAGAGGCCGUUGCAGUGGGGACUCUCCCCUCCACUCCCAAACAAAAUCUGUGUUUUGCAACAUCAGGUUCUCCACCAAAAAAAACCAAACAGCUCUAAUUUGUGGAGCAGACGGUCCCAGCACCCACAGGGGGCUGGGUAUCGCGUUCAGUGUGGCUUGUAAGGGGAAAACCUGGUGGCCGUGGUGGCUCUUGCUGCGGCACGGAGGCCAGCACGUGAGCAGAUCCUGCUGCGAGCAUCCCCGCCCGCCUGCCCGCUGCAUGAAUCACAAGGAAACACCACCCCAGGGAACAAAUUGGUCAUUGUUUGAAAGAGCUGAUGGACGGCAUACAAGCGGGGGAAGAACUGUUGCAGUGCAGGCAGAGAGGGAGGCUGCGGCCGGCAUGCACGGCGUAGCCACGCAAACAUGAGCGAGGCCGGGCAUGCUUUGCUGCCUUACCAGAAGAGAGCGAUUUGCGCGUUUUGGGUUCCCUGAUCUAAAGAAACCUUUUCUUUGUACUGAGAAGGCAUAAAAUAAAAUAAAAUUACUCCCGUU
Molecule: long non-coding RNA, 2599 nt
Organism: Cygnus olor (mute swan)
Lineage: Eukaryota; Metazoa; Chordata; Aves; Anseriformes; Anatidae
Exons: 2
Source: RefSeq, a predicted model, not a curated record